RNAcentral lists this long non-coding RNA (570 nucleotides) under Homo sapiens (human). RNAcentral's name for it is "HSALNT0040423". The record is from RNAcentral. Lineage: Eukaryota; Metazoa; Chordata; Mammalia; Primates; Hominidae.
ACAGACAAUGAACUACUGGAUAGAGACUGAUGCCUUUAAGAUAGUCCUACUUUCAAUCUUCUAUCAUGGAGAAUAUCCAAUCAAAUGAGAAGUGGAACAAGUCAAGACAUGUUCCAGGCAAAAUGAAGGAACAAGGAUGACUGGUGGAGAGUAAGCAGUCUGCAUGGUGUGAUGGCUGGCUGAGGUGGUCUUGUGGAUCUGCGACACUGGAGGAAGUGCUGUCCUGGGAGGAAAGUCUGGCAAAGCAAGCCUGGAUCAGUGGAAGGGCUUGAGCAGCAGGCUGAGCAGUAUGGGCUUUGGACUACAGAGAAAGCUAAAACGAAGAUUUACAGAUCACUUCCGGCCACCUGGAGAACUCCAGGUGAGGAAGGAAGAAACAUGGUUAGACUACAGUGAUGCCAUUUCCUUAUGUAAGCAUUUGACUUCAGAAAUUGAAACUGGCCAUGAUUAUUGAGUAGGCACGGCAGUUCAGCUGAAGGAUGAUCAAUGGACUUCAACUCAGAUGCAGAUCUUGACUGACAGAAGAUAAUUAUCAUUCAAGCUAAUGGGGAACUUGAAUUGGACUCAAUG